This 2672-nucleotide long non-coding RNA is filed under the name Manihot esculenta (cassava). Its description in RNAcentral is "long non-coding RNA (MESC_LNC003812)". The record is from RNAcentral. Lineage: Eukaryota; Viridiplantae; Streptophyta; Magnoliopsida; Malpighiales; Euphorbiaceae.
AAUUGUGCUCUUGGAUAUGUUGAAGAUAAGAAGAUUUGUUCAAAUGGGUAUCAUGCAAUGCAUCACAGAGGAUUGCAGAUGAUGAUCUCUCCUGCUUCUGGUGGUGGAACAAGAAGAAAUCUUCAUACCCACAUGUAAUUUUGCAUAAUUAUUAUCUUGAUUUUUCUUUUGUUUAUUUUUUCUCCCAUAGUUUCAAAGGAAAUUUAUUAUAUUUGAAAGUUUAAUUUAUGAACUAGGGUGAAGGUAAAGGAUGAUAUGGUUAGCCCACCACCAGUACCGCCAGUGCCCAAUCAUCAGGGGAUUAACUUCGUUAAAUGGUAAUAUUUACAUUUAGAAUUAUUUUUUAAAAAAAUUAUUAUUUAAAAAAAUUUAUUAAUUAAUUCUUUAAUUUUUAAUAAAUAUAUUAAAAUAUUUAUAAAAUAUUAAAAAUAUAGUUAAUUUUAACAAUUAAUGAUUGAAACUAUUUUGGCUAUUCACUUAAUAAAAGAAGGACACUUUUGAAGAGAAAAAUCUCUUUAAUGUUAAAAAUAACUGAAUUAUUUUUUUUUUAAAUAAAACUAGUGAUUGUAUUAAUAAAAUUUCAUCAAAUAAAUAAAGAUAUUAUCCCAAAUUGAGAGAUGAGUAUGCCUAAUAGAUUCUAUAGUUAAAGUUUAAGCAGUUAGAAUAGUAUUACGACGAAUCCAUCCAACAGAAAUAUCAAUUAUAAAGUCUAACAAAGAUUUACAAUUAUUCAAAAUCAAACCCCUGCAUAAGAUAAUUUGGUAAAAAUGCUCCUCUUUCUUUCUCAUCUCUCAAGUAUAAAUUAUUAAAGUCUCCUGAAUAAAGUUACGGAAGAAGGUUUCUAUGAGAUAAAACUCAAAUAAGAUUUUAAAACUGGCGUUGUCGUUGCGAUUCUAGAAAUCCAUAAUAACUAGUAAACCUCUAUUGAACAUUAACUUUCGAAAUAACCGAAUCAAUAAAAUUUGAAGAAAAGUCAACCACAGAAACAGACACAUGACUUUUUCACAUUAAUGAAAGGCUUUCUCCCAAUCCUUGUCUAUUGAUUGAGAAGCAACCAUCAAAAUAUAAAAAAUUACGAAAAAAUUCUAUAUGAAAACUAAGAGCUUUUGUUUUCUAUAAAAAAUAAAAUGUAUUGGAUUGUAUGUGAGAAAUCUCUCCACCAUACAAAAAUCAUAACUGACGAUCGGAAUAUCUCCGAAACUCUCAAUAGGGACAACAAUAUAUUUUUUUUCAUUGAUAGUCAAUUGACUUAGAUCGUCUUCUAUGGGAAGGGGAAAGAAUAUAUUAGGUUUAAGAAAGAAAAAAAUGCGAGAGUAUCGAGUCACAAAGGGACUAUAGAGAGAAACUUGCGUAAAAAAUAACUGAAUUACUUUAAAAGUCUAAUCUUAUGAAGUAAUUAUUAUAUUUUUUAAAAUUUUAGAGAUAUUUUAAUAUAUUUUUUAAAUUUUAUACAUUAAUUAAUGAAUAAUAAUUUUCUUAAUAUUUUCCUAACAAUGAAAAUAAAACAUUCAUUUUAUUUAUUAUAUUUUUACUUAAAAUUUUGAAUUUUGGGAAUUAAUAAUUAGUUGGAGUAGAACUUGGAAUCGUUUUAUUGGUUCAAUUUGAAUUUUUUGAAAUAUAUCGAAUAAUAAUUUAUUAAGCAUGAAGAGUCUGCAUUGGAUCAAAUGAGAAAGAUAGAAAUAAAGGAAUUAAUAAAAAAAAAUAAUUGAAUUUAAUUUUUGUAAAAUUUUUUAAUUACAAAGGCAAAAAAUGGGCUAAUAACUUUAGAAAAUUAUAAUUAGGAAGAAGAAGGGGUAUAGGGUUUCGAAAUUUUAGUAGUUUUAAUUUGUCUUUACUAGGCAAGCAUUUGUGGAGGUUCUUAACAAAUUCUAAUACUCUUUGUUAUAAAGUGUUUAAAGCAAAAUAAUUUCCACAUGAUGAUUUAUUUUCCGCCAAUGUAAGUAAUGAUGCUGUUUUGUUUGGAAAAAUGUGAUGGCAUCAAGAGAGUUGAUUUGGAGGGGCAGAAGGUGGAGGAUGGAUAAUGGAGAGAAGAUUUUAGUGGCUUCAGCUCCUUGGAUUCCUAAGGAAGAUACUUUUUUUUUCAGAUGAUGACCCGAUUUUAUUGAACCACAUUUGCGUGUUUGUAAUCUUUUCGAAGGUAAUGGGAGGGUUUGGAAUAUUGCUAUUUUAAUGGAGCUUUUUUCUUCAAGAGAUAUCAGGACUAUUAUUAGUAUUCUUAUUAGUAUUACUAAUAAGAAAGGUUCCUUCUUGUGGCACUUUGAUAAAAGAGGUGUGUAUACGGCGAAGUCCGCAUAUUUUGUGUGUAUGGACUUGUUAGUAAGAUCAUAUUUUAAUGUGGAAGUGAGUUGUGGACUAGUUUGUGGAAUGUUUCGAUCCCUCUAAAAGUGAAGGAUUUCUGUUGGAGAGCUUGUAGAAAUAUAUUGCCUACAAAAGAUAACUUAAGGUAAAGGGGUGUGGAUAUGGAUGCUAGAUGUCCUUGGUGCCAUGAAGAUGAAAGUGUCAAUCAUAUUUUAUUGCACUGUCCUGUGUUCAAGGAAGUUUGGAGGUUAGGGGGAGUGGGAGAUUUGCAGCCUAAUGUUAAUUUUUUUUAAUUUUUUAAUGUAGAUUUUAAAGUUCCAAGACAAGAUUUGAAAAAUCUUUGUAAUGAUCUGUGCAUGAAGAUUAUGGUCAGC